CUGGUUGUAGGGGUACAGUGAUCAGGUUACGAUGGAUUUCUCAAGUAACAACCUCGUAGCUCGGUCACGAUAUCCAUAUGACUCG
Ornithorhynchus anatinus (platypus) is the source of this 85-nucleotide non-coding RNA. The record is from Rfam. NCBI's taxonomy places the organism in Eukaryota, Metazoa, Chordata, Mammalia, Monotremata, Ornithorhynchidae.